GUAAAAGUGGAGGGAAGCUAGACAUAGCUUCAUGUCCUGGGUCUUUGCCAUUCAUCUUCCAUCAGUGCUAAAGGAAGCUGCACAGCUAAGGCUGCAGGCACAAUGCCCACACUUUGGCUUUCAUUCUAUGAAAUGAAAUCUGACAUUCUUCCUAACCAAGAUACUGGUUUUUUUUUUUUAAAUCAAGCAGACUGUGUUGCUUUUGAACACCUGGUUAUGACUGGGCAUUUUUCUCAAGAGAUGCAUUUUCAGUGGGAAAUUCCAUUUGAUCUUCACAGUCUACUGUUUUGCUAGAACUGAUUCUCUUCUCUCUCAAAUGAGUCCAGUACAGAAGAAAACUAUAUUGAAGUCAGCAGAGUGUAGGCAAUAAAAGAAUCGGUCCUUAAAAUCUGCAAAGGCCACAGAGGUUCUUGAUUUUUCCAUUGCUUCAGGAAUAGAAAUUUUGCUUUUUCCUUUUCAGCCAUGAAAAUCCUGUUAUUGCAGAACAAGCUUUCCUUUUUUUCUCACCUUCCAAAACAAAAAUGCAUCCCAUAAUUAACAGGAUUAGACGCUAAAGUCCUAACAGCCAGCUACCAUUACAAGAAGGCAAUCAAGACAAGCUGGAAAUGCUUAUAGAAAAGGUGAGUCUUCAAACAGAAUUCCUGGAAAAAAAAAGAGAGGUGAAGCAGUGGAAGAGUAGCAUCAAUGAUUCCCAGCUUUUGGAAAGAGAGUUUUGAGUGAGUGUGACCAUAACUGGGAUACUGCCUUCUCAUAGAAACCUGUGUACCUCAGACUGGAUGUUCAGAACCAGUGGCCACAGUAGCUAGCAAAAUAAUUUGUGAUCAAAAUAGCUCAAUCGGGACUGAAACAGAAAUGUAACGUAAGCCCCUGGUUUCCUUCUUUCAUAUUAGUUCCUCUUGGGAGAAAUACAGUAAGUAGCAUAGUAGGAUUAAGGCACCAAUACAGGAAAACUGAUACCUGAGCCCAAAUAUCUCUCUGUCUGCAGCAACUUGGAUUUCAGUAUGAUGAUGCAAAUCAUAACCACCCUUCGCUGCCAAGGGACUUUGGAAAUAACAGAUUUCCAGGGCAAAAUAUAAAUGACCUUCAUCUCUGCACAGCAUAUCAGACUACUCUCUUUUCCCCAGCUUAGGACCCUACCCUUAUGCAAUAUUAUCAUACACAUCCCAGAAUCCAUACACUGGUGGAUGAGCCUAUGCUUGUCUUAAGGUGAACUUGAGUUUGUCAGACCAGGCAGAGCUGUGGUACAAUGGCUUAAUUAAUUCCUGGGAAAAUGCAAGGAAUGUCCUGAGGAACUCUGAAAACAUGAUUGACAGGUUUGUGUAGAAAAGCUUGGAGUGUAAAAGCAAAAGAGGAUGGGAGAACUAACAGGAGCAGUAGGCAGAAGAUGGUGCUGUGACUCUCCAAGAAGCCAAAAGCCAAGAACAACCAAUCCUCUGAAGCACUCAGAAAAAACCACCCCAAAACCACAGAGCAUGUUUGGCAAACACUGAAACAAAAAUGUCACCAUCUUGCCAAGUUGGCAGAGAGAGGCAUGAUGUGUGAUCAUUGUAAUGAACCCUGGCUAACACUAGUGCGUCCCUAGCAGAGCCUGGUAAGGGAGGCUGGGCUGAAACGAUCCAGGGUGCCUCCAGAUCAUCGCAAGGUAUCUGUCAAAGUCAUAAGAAACCUUCCUCUCACAGAUGAGGGGCAGAGAGAGGGAAACCUUUCAUUUUUUAUUGUAUUUUUUCACUGUAUUUUGUUUCUCUGGAAAGUAAGACAACUAAGUCAGAGUACAGUCUAAUGGAAUUAGUCACAGUUGCUUCUGAAGUCCAGAAACUUGAGGUUCCUGAGCUCUCUAAUGCUUUUUUUUCCUAUCUGUAAGUAUGUAAAAUAAAAUGGAAAACUCUAA
Pezoporus occidentalis (night parrot) is the source of this 1888-nucleotide long non-coding RNA. RefSeq lists it as uncharacterized. NCBI's taxonomy places the organism in Eukaryota, Metazoa, Chordata, Aves, Psittaciformes, Psittacidae. The record is from RefSeq and is a predicted model, not a curated record. The transcript is spliced from 3 exons.